CUCAGUUUUCCAUCGCUGCUGGUUUCUCUCCAAGGAGGGCUCCGGUCUGUCCCUCCACACAGGUUUCUGCCGCAAGCAAUAGCAGCCAUCAAAGCAAAGUACAGAUUCCAUCCCCUGGAAAAAAGAGCCUUUGAGCUUCCUGUUACCUGCUCGGUGUUAUCUUUCCAUCACUACCCGUGAGCUUUGGCGCAGAGGAAAGAACACGGACCAGCUGCACUGGCUGUCAGAAAUCCAGGCUCCUCCUGUGUGCGACCCGGAAAACGCUAUGUACUUUAAAGAACCAUUGGGACGAUGACACAAAACGCGUGAAAAGUACCCCACACAGCCAAAGGACUCAGUAAACUUUAACGAGCGAGGCAGGGAAAGGGGUUAGUCCAAUGGCCAGUGACACAAUCUCGUGGGGGCGGGGGGAUCGGUCUUCGUUCAGCUGUGGUGCUGACCAGUGGAACUUUUUGCUGUCUCCACUGCCCGACACAGUAGCCACUAGCCACGUGUGGCUGUGAAGCCCCUUGAAACGUGGCUAGAGCCACGGAAGAACUGAAAUUUGAAUUUUAUUUCAUUGUAAUUAAUCGAAAUUAAAAAUUAGAACAGAUUUA
Molecule: long non-coding RNA, 596 nt
Organism: Felis catus (domestic cat)
Lineage: Eukaryota; Metazoa; Chordata; Mammalia; Carnivora; Felidae
Exons: 2
Source: RefSeq, a predicted model, not a curated record